UCUUCCAUCUAGAAGGAUAGAAAAGCAACAAGUCUCAUAUUACAGACAAUACUCUCACUGCAUACAGGUUCAGAAUCAAAACAGUAAGUUGGGGUCCACAAUCUGUGAGGCACAAAUGAAUGUUCACACACCAUUACAUUCAUUCACUAUCACAAAAGAGAGCUAGCAGCAGUGCUUACAGGGCGUACAACAAAGCACACAAAGUAAAGCCAUGAUUUUCCAGUGCACAAAGGACAAAUUAAAACCAGGUUUCCUUCAAUAAAAUGAAAUUUCUCCUAUUAAGCAAAUUCCCUAUCAUCAAGAUUUAGGGUUCUCAUUGCAAAGAUAAGUCUCAUUUUGCACCUCCAAACUAAUUGGAAACUUUCUACAAUUAUGAGUCCUCACUGAAUAAAACACAGAAUUUUCCUCAUUUCUAUGUAUUUUCUGUCUUAGAACUAUUAGUUAUUUCAGUGAAAAGUACAUACGUAAAAAAUAAAUAGAAUUUUUUGGUUUCAAGGGUACAAUAAGUUUAUGUAAAGAUAGCUAGCUUUUCACAAUAGCUUUGCCUAUAAUACAGGGGAGGAGAAAAUACUCACAAUGAGUGUUCUUUUAUUCAAAAGAAAAUUCCUAAUAGUUUUGUAUUAAUGGUUCUUAGGGUACUAGCCUGAUUUAAUAUUUGAAGUCUGUUAAAAGUAAUAGAUAUCUGUAUAAUUUUCCUCUCUGUAAACAAUCAAGCUACCAUGGAUCACACCCAGGAAUAUAGCUCAAUGCAGCUCAAAACCAAGAUGUAUUCAAAAGUCAUAGGAGACCUCAGGAGGUGUAUGUGGGCACAUGUUCUUCAUGCAGCUCACUGCUCAUUUAAGCAAUUGUCAUUUCCCCCUGGCCUUUGGUUGAGGCACAGCAUUUCUUCUUUUUUCCUUUGAUACUGAUCGUAAGGAAAUAAAUCACAGUAUGUGAAAUGACAAUCUGAUGGGUAAGAAACCUGGAAGCUCAGAGAGGUGAACUUUGGUUAGGCCAUGUAGGAAGCAGUGCUAAGGACAGCAUUUGACAGUCCAUUAUCUCCCCUUUCUUCGUCCACCUGAUUGGAGAGUGGCUUGCAGCAAAGACUACCUGACCAACAUAGCCUGCUAUCACUGUGAUCUUGCGGAGAUGAAUGUCAAACUUACUGUUUUGUUACAUGAUUAUGGAGCCUGAAAUCUCUAGUUUAUGAUCUUUUUACCGCAUUCUUUUUUUGUGGCUUCAUUUAAGUCAACACAAUAUGUAAAAUAUGAUUUCAUAAAAAUAUUAUUAUUCUCAAUGCAAAAGUUACCUUUACUUGACAAAAUGAUGUUCUUUAAAUAAUGAACUUUCCUAUUGUCUUAGAGUUAACUGGCUAUUCAAAUAUAUAAUGAAUACCCAGUGUUUUCAGAGAAGCACAGACAGAUAAAAGGUGAUAAACAUAUUUGGCUCAACCAAAGGUGAAGACAAAUCUUCAAGAUUGUUUUAGUUUUUGUUUUAAACAUAAAAUUUAGAUGACUAACACUUAAACUCAUCUGUAUAUUCAUCUAUAAUUCUUAUAACUGUAAUUCAAAGUAGAAUAUUUCAAAAAUCUUGAAGAUAAUAAUAAAUUCAAAAGAUUUGGUAAAACUUUAGAACAGUUCAAAAUUGUAAACUCACAGAGUUCCAUAAGAGGUUAAGUGGUGUUUUGUCCAAAAUAUUGAUUUGAUCAAGUGAAUGUAGAGAUUAGAAACCUUGAGAAUAAAAAAGACUU
Long non-coding RNA from Pipistrellus kuhlii (Kuhl's pipistrelle), 1729 nucleotides. RefSeq lists it as uncharacterized. NCBI's taxonomy places the organism in Eukaryota, Metazoa, Chordata, Mammalia, Chiroptera, Vespertilionidae. The record is from RefSeq and is a predicted model, not a curated record. The transcript is spliced from 2 exons.